This is a long non-coding RNA of Eublepharis macularius, 476 nucleotides long. RefSeq lists it as uncharacterized. The transcript is spliced from 2 exons. NCBI's taxonomy places the organism in Eukaryota, Metazoa, Chordata, Lepidosauria, Squamata, Eublepharidae. The record is from RefSeq and is a predicted model, not a curated record.
UUUGCGAAAAACUGGGGGAACUUCGCAUAAAGGGGAAGAGGUGCAAAUGUCUGCCUAACUCUCUUUCUACCGUGAUAGAAAGAAUGACUCCACAGCUAACUGAUGCAUGCUAGUUGCUUCUAACUAAGCACAAACAAACUAACCCUUCCGUGGCAGAAGGGAAUGACACUUUGCAAAUUAACCGCAUGCUCUCCCGUUUCCUUGCAGGUGCCCUGACUCUGGCGCUCCCACCUGGUGAUGACCGACGGAGCGCUGACAGGCACAUCCAGGGCAUGGCUGCUCCCCCGCGCCCCGCCCUCCCCAAACAUCUCUGACGGACGGUUGGCUGCAGCCCAGGAAGCACCGUCGCGCCGCGGCCUGCAUCCCAGCCCCGCCCCUCCGAGCGGGAAGGAGGGCUGUGUGGAAUGCUCCAGCUCCCUCGCCAGCCUAAACGCAAGCCCGCUCUUUCCAGUGCAAUAAAACGAGAUGUACAACAA